AGGCUCAGAGAUAAGGAUAGGGAGGGGUUGCUCACCCAUUAAUGGUCACAGGCAAGCAAAAGACAGGCUCAUUAGGGGAAGAAGAAGAACAUCACUUUAAUUCAAAACACUAAAAUAACAACACUUAACAGAGAGAAUGGGACAGUGAGAAGUGUUACCAUAUCUUAAAAACACCUCCCCCUACUUCCCCGUGCUCAGUUUUGCUGGGGAUAUUUCUAUCUCCUCCCCCAGCAGCACAGGGGCAGGGGAUGGGGGCUGCAGUCAGUCCAACGCUUCUUCCUCCAAGGUGAGGGGAAGCACUUCUGCGUUCAUCCCCCUGCUCCACAUGGUAUCCCUCUCACAGGAGACAGUCCUCCACAAACUCUCCGCCGUGAGUCCUCCCCCGGAGAUGCUCCGGCCUGGGUCACCUCCAUGUGUUGCAGUCCUCCCAGCAACGAACAACAACAGCAAGGGCUUCUUCUUCCCACAGAGUCCCGGAGGUCCUCCACAGGCUGGAGGUGAAUCUCUGCUCCUCCAGUGGCCUUCAUGGGUGGCAGUGGGGUGGCCCUGCCAUCUCACCACGGGAUACAGGGGGAUUCUCUACUCCAGUGCACCUCCCUGCUUCCUCCUCCUCCUUUCCACUGACCUCAGUGUUCACUCUGAUUUGCAGAGACUCUACAACUCGGAGAGUUAUACAGCAGAUGCUGCUCUGCUGUUUACUGGUGUCUCCGGAGGAAAGCUGGAUGCUGCCAGCAGGCUCAUCCAUCAUGCCUAG
Molecule: long non-coding RNA, 754 nt
Filed under: Athene cunicularia (burrowing owl)
Lineage: Eukaryota; Metazoa; Chordata; Aves; Strigiformes; Strigidae
Description: lncRNA (ENSACUG00000005876.1)
Source: RNAcentral